GCAUCGGUGUCUCAGUGGUAGAAUGCUCGCCUGCCACACGGGCGGCCCGGGUUCGAUUCCCGGUCGAUGCU
This 71-nucleotide transfer RNA is filed under the name Cordylochernes scorpioides. RNAcentral's name for it is "tRNA-Gly". It matches the Rfam family "tRNA". From Rfam's summary of the family: Transfer RNA (tRNA) molecules are approximately 80 nucleotides in length. Their secondary structure includes four short double-helical elements and three loops (D, anti-codon, and T loops). Lineage: Eukaryota; Metazoa; Arthropoda; Arachnida; Pseudoscorpiones; Chernetidae. The record is from RNAcentral.